AUUGAACGCUGGCGGCAGGCCUAACACAUGCAAGUCGAGCGGGGUUUUCGGACCUAGCGGCGGACGGGUGAGUAAUGCGUAGGAAGCUACCCGAUAGAGGGGGAUACCAGUUGGAAACGACUGUUAAUACCGCAUAAUGUCUACGGACCAAAGUGUGGGACCUUCGGGCCACAUGCUAUCGGAUGCGCCUACGUGGGAUUAGCUAGUUGGUGAGGUAAUGGCUCACCAAGGCGACGAUCCCUAGCUGGUUUGAGAGGAUGAUCAGCCACACUGGAACUGAGACACGGUCCAGACUCCUACGGGAGGCAGCAGUGGGGAAUAUUGGACAAUGGGCGCAAGCCUGAUCCAGCCAUGCCGCGUGUGUGAAGAAGGCCUUCGGGUUGUAAAGCACUUUCAGCGAGGAGGAAGGGUUAGUAGUUAAUAGCUGCUAAUUUUGACGUUACUCGCAGAAGAAGCACCGGCUAACUCUGUGCCAGCCGCCGCAGUAA
This 488-nucleotide ribosomal RNA is filed under the name uncultured bacterium. RNAcentral describes it as "partial 16S ribosomal RNA". It matches the Rfam family "Bacterial small subunit ribosomal RNA", at positions 30 to 523 of the family's 1533-position model. The record is from RNAcentral.